RNAcentral lists this ribosomal RNA (253 nucleotides) under uncultured bacterium. RNAcentral describes it as "partial 16S ribosomal RNA". It matches the Rfam family "Bacterial small subunit ribosomal RNA", at positions 524 to 776 of the family's 1533-position model. The record is from RNAcentral.
UACGUAGGUGGCAAGCGUUGUCCGGAUUUAUUGGGUUUAAAGGGUGCGUAGGCGGCUUUGUAAGUCAGUGGUGAAAUAUUACAGCUCAACUGUGAGGGUGCCAUUGAUACUGCAGAGCUUGAGUACAGAUGAGGUAGGCGGAAUUGACGGUGUAGCGGUGAAAUGCUUAGAUAUCGUCAAGAACACCUAUAGCGAAGGCAGCUUACUAGGCUGUAACUGACGCUGAGGCACGAAAGUGUGGGGAUCAAACAGG